This 1220-nucleotide ribosomal RNA is filed under the name metagenome. RNAcentral's name for it is "bacterial LSU rRNA". It matches the Rfam family "Bacterial large subunit ribosomal RNA", at positions 1671 to 2910 of the family's 2925-position model. The record is from RNAcentral.
GUAGAGCAUACCAAGACGCUUGAGAGAACUGUCCUGAAGGAACUCGGCAAAUUGCAUCUGUAACUUCGGGAGAAAGAUGACUUUUACCCACGCAAGUGGGAAAGAGUGACACAAACCAGGUGGUAGCGACUGUUUACCUAAAACACAGGGCUCUGCGAAGUCUUUAAGACGACGUAUAGGGUCUGACGCCUGCCCGGUGCCGGAAGGUUAAAAGGAGGAGUGCAAGCUCUGAAUUGAAGCCCCGGUAAACGGCGGCCGUAACGAUAACGGUCCUAAGGUAGCGAAAUUCCUUGUCGGGUAAGUUCCGACCUGCACGAAGGCGUAACGACUUCCACACUGUCUCCAGGGCAGACUCAGUGAAAUUGAAUUCCUCGUGAAGAUGCGGGGUACUCGCGGUUAGACGGAAAGACCCUAUGAACCUUUACUGCAACUUCGCAGUGGCAACACGAUUGACAUGUGUAGAAUAGGUGGGACCCUUUGAAGUUCCGGCGCCAGCCGGGAUGGAGGGAUCAGUGAAAUACCACCCUUGUUUUUUGUGUUGUCUAACCUCUCUCCAUUAUCUGGAGAAGGGACCCUGCGUGGUGGGCAGUUUGACUGGGGCGGUCGCCUCCCAAAUAGUAACGGAGGCGCGCGAUGGUAAGCUCAGGACGGUCGGAAAUCGUCCUUUGAGUGCAUUGGCAUAAGCUUGCCUGACUGUGAGACUGACAAGUCGAGCAGAGACGAAAGUCGGUCAAAGUGAUCCGGUGGUUCCGUAUGGAAGGGCCAUCGCUCAACGGAUAAAAGGUACUCUAGGGAUAACAGGCUGAUAGCGCCCAAGCGCCCACAGCGACGGCGCUGUUUGGCACCUCGAUGUCGGCUCAUCUCAUCCUGGGGCUGGAGAAGGUCCCAAGGGUAUGGCUGUUCGCCAUUUAAAGAGGUACGUGAGCUGGGUUCAGAACGUCGUGAGACAGUUCGGUCCCUAUCUUCCGCGAGAGUUGGAGUCUUGAGAGGAUCUAUCCUUAGUACGAGAGGACCGGGAUGGACGCACCCCUGGUGUACCAGUUGUUCUGCCAAGAGCAUCGCUGGGUAGCUAUGUGCGGAAUGGAUAAACGCUGAAAGCAUCUAAGCGUGAAACCAGCCUCAAUACCAGGACUCCCUAUUAGAGCCGUAGUAGACUACUACGUUGAUAGGCUGGGUGUGGAAGCGCCGUAAGGCGUGAAGCUUACCAGUACUAAUUGCUC